CAGUCGCCGCGGUAAUACGUAGGUGGCAAGCGUUGUCCGGAAUUAUUGGGCGUAAAGGGCUCGCAGGCGGAUGGCACAGUCAGAUGUGAAAUUCCCGGGCUUAACCUGGGGGCUGCAUUUGAUACGUGUUGUCUAGAGUGAGGAAGAGGGUCGUGGAAUUCCCAGUGUAGAGGUGAAAUUCGUAGAUAUUGGGAAGAACACCGGUGGCGAAGGCGGCGACCUGGUCCUUUACUGACGCUGAGGCGCGAAAGCGUGGGGAGCAAACAGGAUUAGAUACCCGUGUAGUCCCUGUCUCUUAUAC
This 301-nucleotide ribosomal RNA is filed under the name uncultured bacterium. RNAcentral's name for it is "partial 16S ribosomal RNA". It matches the Rfam family "Bacterial small subunit ribosomal RNA", at positions 509 to 807 of the family's 1533-position model. The record is from RNAcentral.